Molecule: long non-coding RNA, 36912 nt
Filed under: Prunus persica (peach)
Lineage: Eukaryota; Viridiplantae; Streptophyta; Magnoliopsida; Rosales; Rosaceae
Description: long non-coding RNA (PPER_LNC001937)
Source: RNAcentral
AAACCCACAAUUAUCCUCUAUGUUGUUAUUUAAUCAAGAUUUUAGAUCUGACAAAGAAAAAAAAACUAGAAUUAACCCAAAAUCGAAGAAUGAAUUUCUACAAGAGGGAGGCUUACAAUUGAAAUUGGAAAAUUUGUACAAACCAAAUACGUAAAUUUGCAAAUAGGAUAGAAGAAGUCUACUACUUACAUCAAGUGAAAUCGAAACUAACUCAAAAUUUAGCUACAAAUUGGGAAUUUAAGAAGAGAAAUUGAUAAUUCCUUCGUUUGACAACUUAAGUGCAGAAUUUAUUAAAUGACACGAGGAAAAAAUCGUGGAAAUUAAAGCAUCAAGUUUCCGAGUUUAAUUUCUACCAAAAUAUGAGUCAUUUCAUAAUUUUCAUAGUGUCAUUUACAAAAAUCUAUCAUUUACAAAAUUCGACAUACAUAAAUUCAAACACUAAAACCUUCAAUUGCCAUAAAUUGAAAUGAUGAAAAUCUGAAUUCUGUUAUUUUAGAAUUUUAUGUAAUUUUUAAUUUUUUCAUCCAAAUGAAAUAUUGAUGUUAAGUGAAUAGACAGAUAUCAAUAUAAUUUUUUUUUGAGAGUACAAAUGUCAAGAUUUUAGGUAAGGGACAACGAGGAUACAGAGAAAAUGGGACAAAAGAUGUGAACCCAAUUAUAUACAGUUUGGUUAGCGAGGAUGAAACCAUAAAGUUCCCCAAAACACACAAAGAACACGGACAAUUGUUAAGUUUAUCCUUGAAUUCACACAUAUUUGCACAAAUGAGAUUACUCCAAGCAUGACUAUACCAUUUGUUGGUUUAAUGUGAAAAGUAUGGACAACGAGGGUAAAAUCAUACAAACACACACAAAGAACAUGAACAAUUGCUAAGUUUAUCUUUGCGUUAUUUAUCCGACCUAACUGUAAAAUAAAAAAGAUGAAAAUAUAUAAUGUUCAUUACUUAGAUCUAUGAGCACUAAAGUCCUCCUUUUCAAAUUGCACAAAACAUCACUUUUGGUCUUUGGUAAAUUUUUAAAAUAAAUGAAUUUUUUACUUAUUUGUGAACUGAAAUGCCUCUAAAAAAAUAAUGAUAGUUCAAAGAAUUUGAUAGAAAUUAAAAAAUAUCCUCAAAUUACUUGGAAUUGAAGACCACAUAGGCAAAAACACCAAAUUGAAACCUCACUUUAAUGAUAAAAAUUGUAAACUACAAAGACAAAAAUGACGUCUUGCCUUAUGCAUAAUUGGAAUUUGCUGGUGAUAAUAGUCGAUAUCAUCUUUUGUCGGUCCGACCUAAAAAGAAGAAAAAGUUGAAAGCAUCUUGUACCAUUUUUGCCAAUGUGGGUCCAAACAAUUUGAAGAAGUCCACCGACAAUUUCUCAAAAGCUAUUGUGUGAGUGUUGUGAAGCCACUACUACAAAAAGCGAAAAAGACGACCAGAAAACAACGACGGUCUAAGUGAAAACCGUCGUGGUUUUUAAAAAGACGACGGUUCUAAAAACACCGUCGUGUAAUACCACCUUAGACAACUAAAAAUGGAGAUUCAAAUGGCUGUUCAAAAACAACGACGUACCUAAUUAAACAACCGACGUCUAUUUGAAACAAAUUUCCGCAGUGUAAAAUCAAAGCAAACAAAUAACGGCAGAAGUUAUGAAUAGACCGACGUAGAAAGUAAAGACGACGAUUUCAAUAAAAGCCGCCGUUUUUACUCAUAAAAUAACACGACGAGGUUUUCGUAUAAGACGCCGUAUAAUUACAAACAAAUCCACGGCUUUAAAAUACAAAAUAAUCUUAACAGAUGACACAGAUUUGCAAUCAGAGAGACAAUUUUUUGGAAGUUGAUCAACGUCGUUGCAAAUUUGCAAUCAGAGAGACAAUUUUCAACAACGGUUAUAUUAUACCUAACGACGUUUAAAAACAAAUCAACGUCGCUCAACAAAUAUAUUACGUCGUCUUAGUCUUACUUAAGACGACGAAAAACGACGACAGUAGUACAAAAACAGUCGUUGUUUUUAUAUUCUUAUUUUAUUUAAAUCUGUCGUGUUAGUUAAAAACGACGGCAUAACAAAAAACCGUCGUUUUGUUUCAAACUGAAUUAAUUUAAAAUUUCUUCAGGAAAGCAAAAUCUAUUUAUAAUUUCCUCGGGUUAGUAAUAUUGCGUCGUGUUAGUUUACAAAUUCUAGAACAUUAAUUUCCCUCAUUUUAAAUUUCCUCGGGAAAGAAAAAUCUAUUUAUCACGCUUUGUAAUUGAAAACUAAAACUGAAAGAAUUAUGGAAAAAAAACUCUAUUUAUAAUUUAAAAAUAAAAUCCACGUCGGUUGUAUUACACUUAACGACGUUUAACAAAAUAAUCUACGUCAGUAAUUAUAAAUCUACCGCCAUCUUACCUUAAUAUAGACGACGAGAAAAGCAUUGACAAUGUCUUCAUCAUAUCUCCCAGCAACUACUGAUUCGAUUGCUCAUGCUUUAGAGGCCAUCUGAAGCCAUUUCUAUUCUUUAUCGCAUUCUUGAAACCCAUCUUCUUCUUCUGAAGCUCUACGGAUAAAGGAAGAGGCUAUCACAAAUCUGACGGAUCUUCUUAGUCAAAAAAAUCAAGCAGAGGAUCAGGCACAUCUGAUCUUCAGAUUUCCCUGAGAAGCGAACUUUCCUUCGACAGCGAGUGGAGGCCAGGCUUGCAUCUCUUUUGAUGGAAAGCAAGGAGUAUUCAAAAGCACUAAGUGUCCUAUCAGGCUUGAUCAAGGAAGUGAGAAGGCUAGUUGACAAGCUUCUUCUUGUCAACUAGCCUAAAUGUAAGCUCAAUUUCUCUUUGAGAAAGACAUCCAAAUUAUUGUCUUUGAGAUGUGAGAGACAGUGUCUCUGAGAGAGGAAGAACUUGGAACCCUAAAUGUAAACCGCGAAAAUGAAUGAAAGCGACAAAUUUAUAGAAUAAAUUUUUAAAACCAACGGCGGUCCUUACCAAAAAACCGCCGUUUAAAUUGUAAAAUCAACGUCGGUAUUACCGACGUAUAUUACAGAACUCCACGUCGGUACAUUAAUAAUCCCGACGUCUUAAAUAAUCUACCAUGACGCGAGUUAUUACUUAUGUACUUUAAUUUUUGAGUUUACUACGACGGUACCUACAACACUACUGUCAUAUUAUUUUACCACGUCCGAAGUUAAAUUUACUGUCGUAUUUUGUACUUUAUACGUCGUAGUUAUAUGUAACCGCCGUAUUAUUUUUUUGAAAUGGUUUUAUAUGUAAGCAACUUUUCGUCUACUUGACUUACACAUUCGUUGUUUUUAUAUUCUUAUUUUAUUUAAAUCUGUCAUCCAAAAAAGAAACUUUACAUAUUCCAGAAUAUUAAUUUCCUUCGUUUUAAAUUUCCUCCGGAAAAAAAACUCUAUUUAUAACGCACUGUAAUUGAAAAAUAAACUGAAAGGUCACGGGAAAAAAAUUUCUAUUCAUAAUUUAAAAAUUAAAAUCCACGUCGGUUAUAUUAAACCUAACGACGUUAAAUGAAAUGAUUCCACGUCGAACGAAAAAUAUUGCGUCGUGUUAGUUAAAAACGACGUAGUUAAAUGUAACCGCCGUAUUAUUUUUUUGAAAUGGUUUUAUAUGUAAGCAACUUUUCGACUUACACAUGCACUGUUUCCAAACCCGAUUAAAAAUUUCAAUCUCCCAGAGAAACCUUUUCGUCUUUUUUCCUUGUCAAAGCAUUGUCAGAGUUUCUCAUCGUCUUCCUCUCGUCUUCUUCGUCGUCUCUGAAUUUAAACAUCGAUCAUCUUCCUCUUGCUUUCAUUGCACGCAAAAGGUAAGCUUUCAUUUUCACUAUUUUGGUUACUGUUUUGCAUGCUCAUACGUUUUUUGUUUGAAAAAUCUUUUUACCUUUUUUCUGGCCAAAAUCAUUUUACUUCUUUCCAAGUUUGAUAAAAUAUACAGACAAAGAGGGAAAGUUUCCAACUUUGAAGACAACUACCUCAACUAAAUAAGACGACGGUAGACCACGACGGUUCGUCAGUUGUUCUAGCGUCGUCUGAAAAUUGACAAAGUUGUUUUUAAAAUAAUAGUCUUUUUUUAUAUGCUUGUUUAAUUGCAGGUUUGAUUUCUCUGAACAAUGGUUUUUGUUUUUCCCUUAUUUGAUAAAAUAUAAAGAAAAAGAAACUAGGGUUGGUAUCUAAUAUAGACGAAAAAUAUCUUAUUGUUUUACGUCGUGUGAAUGUUAAUACCACGACGGUGUAUUACUAUUGACAUCGUAUGAACAUAAAUACCACGACGUUAUAUAAUUAAUAGUUUACCACGACGGUGUAUUACUAUUGACGUCGUGUGAACAUAUAUACCACGACGUUAUAUAAAUAAUGGUUUUAAACAUUUAUUACGUCUGAGAUUAUUUCAUUGCGUCGUCUAAAAUCAUAUCAUACGUCGUAUUUUUUUAAUACCGUCGUUUGUGUUCUUAAUGUUUUCCUGAAAUAUUUUCACUUGCAGUUUUGUCUGUUAAAAUGGUUUCUCAACAACAAACUAAGGAUUCUGGCUCCAAGAAGCUUGGAAUGGUAGCUCCUCAAGACAAGUCUUCGAAGGAGAUGAAGUCUUCGAAGAAGAUGAAGUUUGCUUCAUCAUCUGCUGAGACAGAACAAACCAGCCAGACAACAAUCUCUGAUGAUUCAAAGACUGGUUGAGGUAUGAGCACAAUGCCUCGUGUUGUGAAGAGAAAGCUUCAGAAACUGAGGCCAAUUGUUGAGUACAAUAAAAGGGGGAAAGGUGUUGGCCAAGCACAUAUUGAGAUGCAGUCGUAUAUUGGUGUCUUGGCACGCUCCAGGAUCCCACUUGUGGACAAGAAAUGGUCCCAAAUCCCCAAGGAUAUAAAGGAGCAGAUUUGGGAAGCAGUUGACAUGGCUUUUGUCGUAGGCCAAGGGGGCAAGACCUCUGUUUUAGCUUCUGCUUCCAAGAAAUGGAAGGAUUUCAAGUCUACACUAACGAGGCAUUAUAUCCUUCCAUACACCAAUGACAGGGAGAAAUUAAGCCAACCCCCUGAAACAUAUAAAUUCAUAGAGAAAGCACAAUGGGAUGCCUUUGUAGCUUCAAGGCUAUCCAAAGAUUUUGAGUCUGUGCAUUCUCAACAUGCACAGAUUAGGGAGAAACUCGAGUACAAUCAUCGAUUGUCUCGAAAAGGAUAUGCUGGAUUGGAGGAUCAAUUGGAGGAAACCAUGCCUGGGGUAGAAAUUGAUCGAUCUACCUUAUGGAAGAGAGCUAGACAGGACAAACAUGGUAACAUCCCUGAUCCAAAGGUGGCAGAGAAAACAAAAUUAAUUGUAAGCCUACUAUCACUCUGUUUUAAAUUUUUAUUAAACUGUGAAUUAUUCUUAUUACGUCGUAUGUUAUAUUUUUCGUCGUGUGAAUGAUAUUACCACGUCGACAAGUUUUUAAAAACGUCGUUAAAGGUCUAAAUAGGAAUCACUACUAUGUUUUUUGUAAUUAUAGCAUAAGACGUCGGUGGUUCAUUUUCGCGUCGUGUGAAUGAUAUUACCACGUCGAAACUUUUUUAAAAACGUCGUUAACGGUCUAAAUAGGAAUCACUACUCUGUUAUCUUUAAUUAUAGCAUAAGACGUCGGUUGUUUAUUCAUUUCGUCGUUUUAAAUAAAUAACCACGUCGGUAUAACUACCGUCGUGAUAAGUUAUAAUAACGUCGGUUUAUACGUUAUUGCGUCGUGUGAAAUUAUAUAAUACGUCGUUUGUACAUAAAUAACCGUCGUGUGUUUUUUUGUUUAUCUUUUUUUAGGAUGAAUUGCAGAAACAAGUCUCGGAAGGCAAAGUCAGAGUAGAUGGCAGCAAUGAUGUGCUGACCAUGGCUUUGGGCCCCGAGCAUCCAGGCAGAGUGAGGGGAGUUGGUGCUGGUGUUUCCCCAAGGCAAUAUUUCAAUUUGCCCAAACCACAGAGGGUGAGCUUUGACGACCGUUUGAAGGACAGUUUAAGAGUUCUCCUUCAAGAAGAGACUAAAAAGAUGGAGGCUAAGGCAAGGGAAGAGGCCUUAAGGAUGGAGGCUAGGACAAAACAAUUGGUAGAGGCUGAGAGGGAGCAUUUCCUGAGUCAGCUUUCCCAAUUAAUUCCCAAUUUUGAUCCAAGCAUGCUUAAACCAAGAAUUAGCCAAAGCCCCAAAAAUCCAAUGUCUGACAAAGCUAGCUGCUCUGGAGGUGAUGUGAGAUCCCUACAUUUGGAGGAUGAUACUGCCAAAAUGGGGAAACAUUAGCCAGAUGAAGAGAAGGAAGAAGAAAAAAGAGAUGAAUAGAAGGAAUAAGAAAAGGAGAAAGAAGAUGAAGAAAAGCAUGACGACAAGGUAUGUUCACAUAACUUUGCCUUUUUUAUUUGUUUUUCAAAAUUUCAGACGUCGAUAUUUUUAUUUAAUCCGUCGUUUGUUUACAACUUAGACGGCGGAAUUUUUUUAAGACGUAAUAAAAUAUUUAAACGACGGUUUUUUCACCGUCGUCUAAAUGGUUUCAGACGACGCUUUAUUCAUAAAACCGUCGUCUUUAUUGAAUUACCACGACAGUUUUUUCACCGUCGUUUAAAUACUUUUAAGACGACGUUUUAUUCCUUAAACCGUCGUCUUUAUUGAAUUACCACGUCAUUUUUUUUAUUUCUUUAAACAGGUUAUUGAAGUUGGUGAUUAUUCAAAUAUGGAGGCGCCAUCUUCUUUAAAAACCCUUUGUCGUUUUGUGGAAAUGACACUCCUGCCUGAGGAUAAGACACUCCAAUUUACAAUUGAUAUGGAGGUGUUUGGUGGUGAGCGCAAUACCUUCCUCCUGCCUGAAGAUAUUACACAAUUUGCAGGCAUGGAAGAAAUUGGAGCUACUGUAUUGGCUGUAUAUAUGAGGUUUGUACUUCUAAAAUAAUACCUCGUUGGUUUAUAUAUUGCGUCGUCUUAACUAACUAACCACGUCGUCUUAACUAACUACCGUCGUGAUAAAUAUAUUAUAACGUCCUCAUCUAUUUCAGUACGUCGUGUGAAAUAUUAUAAUACGUCGUUUUUUUUAUACAUAACCGUCGUGUUUUUUUGUGCUGACUUGUUUAUAUUAUUUUAUGUAUUUAGGUACUUACACGAUGUUUUGAAACAAGCCAAUAUGUGCAGCAUGGUUGGCUUUAUCGACCCUGCUUCAGUUAGUGCCAACUCUGGCACAAUAACUGAAAGAUCACGACUGGUAGCAGCUCGACUUCAGAAGACAGACGGUGAACAGAUUUUCAUGAAGCCUUACAAUCCAGGGUUAGUCUCCUUAGGAUUUUGUUUUUAUGAUUUUCAAUAAAUGACAGCUUAUAAACUAACCACGUCGGUGUUUUAUUUUAUUUAGUCGUUUGAAACUACUAACCACGUCGGUAUUUAUUUAUCGUCGUGAUAAAUAUAUAAUGUCGUCGUUAUCUACUUUAUUUCGUCGUGUGAAAUACUAUAAUACGUCGUUUUUGUAAAUAACCGUCGUUUUUAUAUUAAUUUUGUGCAGCCGUCAUUGGAUCUUGCUGAUUGUAAGUGCAAAGAAGGAGACCGUCUAUUUUCUGGAUCCUCUGCCAGGUCAUCGUGUGGUCGACGAAGAGGCGAAAAACAUCGUGAACAGUGCUUUAAAAAUAUAUAAUACCCACAUUGCCCGAGCAGGACGUAAAAAUGUAAUUUGGAAAACUCUCUCAGGCACACCAAAGCAACCCAGCAAUGUCGAAUGCGGGUAUUAUGUGAUGCGCUUCAUGAGGGACAUCAUCAUGGAUCCUUCCUUGGGGUUUGAGAAUAAGGUAAGAAGAAAUUACCUUCAUACAUUUCACGUCGUUUUUUGUAUUAUCAACGACGGUCAUGUAAAAUUAACGUCGUUGAAUGGAUAUACUACGUCGGUUAUGAAAAAUAUCGUCGUCUGUGAUUGAAUUUCUUUUUAUUUAUAAACCCUAAUAGUCAUUGUUUAUGCAGUAUGCCAAGGGAAACCAGGAAGCUUCAUACCCCCAAGAAGCCAUUGAUGAAGUCCGGAAUGAAUGGGCAGAGUUUGUUUUCCAAAUUAUUAAACAGGGCAAUUAUUGAACACUUGAUAUUUAUGUAGAAUGUACAAAUUUUCUCUAUAAUAUGUAAUGUAAAAAUUUGUUGAGGUUUUCUUAAAUUAAAAAAAAAACAAACAUACAAAUUGCUUAACCGACGUGUAAUACUUUUCCAACGACCUAAUAAAGUCAAAAACCGUCGUAUUUUGUUGUUUCGUGUUUUAAACAAAUACGACGUAAAAAUAUAGUUAGACGACGUUCUUUGAACAAUUGAGUCGUUUGUGGUUUACAACAUCUUCAAUUUCUUAAGGGUUCAGGGUAUCAUCGACGACGUUUAUGUAACGACAGCGGUUAAGUCGUGGAAUAUAUAUUUUACGUCGUAUAGUUAAAUAGCCGCCAUGGUUUCUCAUUUUAACGACGUCAUUUUAACGACUUAGUAGUCUAUUACAAUUUACAACGUCUACAAUUUAUUAACACCGACGUGGUUUGUUGUUGUGGUAAGAAUAUUUUAUUAUUUUUAUAUCAAAAUAUUCAAAAUAAAUAUAAAAUAAAUCAGAAAAUUGAAAAGUCAACUCCUAUGAAGUCAUUGAUAUAUUUUCUUCCACAUAAACCUUGAAAAAAUUCAUUUUGAAUAAUAAAAAUUUAAAAUGACCAUCCAAAACAAAAUUGUUUUGAUGAGUCAUAAAAUCACUUCUAGUUUUAUGGUUUAAGGUUUAGAGUCUAGGGUUUAGAGAUUAGGGUUGUUAUUUAUUGGGGUUUAUUUUUAAAGUAUAAUUUUUGGGUAGUCUAGGGUAUAUGUUAGGCUUUAAAACCAUAAAACCUUUUAUAAACUUAAUUUUUUAAAUUGUAUAAUUUAGUUUUAUGGGUUUAGGGUAUUAAUUUUUAACGACGGUGGUUGGGUCGUGGAAUACAUAUUUUACGUCGUACAGUAAAACAUACGACAUGGUUUACGCUUUAAACGACGUCAUUUUAAUAUGUAAGUCGGUUUAUAUAAUUUACAACGUCUUUAAUUUCUUAACACCGACGUGGUUUUUCAGUCGUCGUUAUAUAAAAAAUUCAAAAUAAAUUUAAAAUUAAUCCGAAAAAUGAACGGCCUUACGUUCUUAAUCCGAAAAAUGAAGUUUCCGUCGUGGAAUAUUAAAUUUACGUCGGUACUUGUAGAACUUUCGCCUUGGUUUUUCUUUCGACGUUUUAAAACGCGCGCGCUCUAAAAAUUUUCGCGCGACCUAAAUUUUUUUAGAUUUGGCUCUUAUUCUUAUACUUCGAUCCCUGAAACCUAAAAUUUCAGAUUUCGCGCGACAUAACAUUUCGCUCUCUCACUUCUGCUCUAAUUAAAAGUUGCACUCUCCAGGCUCCGUCGAAUCUGUGAGCUCGUCCAACCUGUAAGUACAAACCCUAUCUUCCCCUUGUAAAUUCAUUGAAUGAUAUUAGGUUGUUUUGUUAAAGGGUUUUAUGUGUAUGCUUUGCGAUCUGUUAAUAAUGUGCUUAUAGGUAUGGGUUCAUGGAUUUUCAGUUUAAUGGGUUCAUGGAUUACAUUAUCUGUUAUGUUGAAUUGGGAAUGGAUUUAAUUUUGUCGUAUCUUUUAAUCACCCUAUGUUAUGUUGAAUUGGGAAUGGAUUUAAUUUUGUCGUAUCUUUUAAUCACCCUAUGUUAUGUUGAAUUGGGAAUGGAUUUAUUGUUUUCAUGCUUGGUUUCAUGUAUAUGUUGGUUUCUUGCUUGGUUUCAUAUAUAUGUUGUGUUCUUAAUGGGUUUUGUGUUCUUGAAAAUAAACUGAGACACGACGAAUUUUAAGGCAUACGACGACGAUUACACGACGGUUUUUUUAAACUACCGUCGUUGUAUUACUUAUGCACGACGGUUUUUUCAUAAACCGUCGUUUGUAUUACUUAUAAUAGACGACGUCUGUUGAAAAUUCGUCGUCUAUAUAUGCCAAAUACGUCUGUUUUUGUUUAAAACCCGUCGUCUCUGUUGUGUAUUACUUGCGAUUAGAUCAUUGUAUAAUCUGCUAUAGUGAUGGUCAUUGCCUGUAUUUUCACUUUAUUAUAGAUAAUAGGUUAUAGUGUCGGAGAUGGAUAAGUCAUGGAUGCACUCGGAUAGAAGAUCGAAGGCAUAUGAAUUUGGGGUGGAAGCAUUUUUGAACUUUGCUGUAGAAAAUCUUCUAACUACAACACAUAUCCGUUGUCCAUGUGUUAAAUGUGUUAAUUUGAAGUUGUUUGGGGUUGGAAUUAUAAGGGAUCACUUAUACUUUAAUGGAAUUGACCAAAGCUAUAAGAAUUGGACAUUUCACGGAGAACCUUGGGAAGCAACUACUAAUGCUAGUAGAAAUGUUGAAGAAGAUGAUGGCCAUAGUAGGUACAGUUUUGUGUCUGAAGAAAUUGAUAUGGAUGAUAAUGAUUUUGGUGAUUUUGGUUCGGAUCCGUAUGAGUUUGCCAAUGUGAUUGGGGAUGGAGAUCAACCAGUGUACCCUGGUUGUAGAAAGUACACGAAGUUAUCGGCAUUAGUGAAGUUGUAUAAUUUGAAGGCAAAACAUGGGAUGAGUGAUGUCUGUUUUAUAGAAUUAUUGAUACUUCAAGGCGAUUUGCUUCCAGAAGGAAAUACAAUACCAACCUCCAUGUAUGAGGCUAAAAAGACUUUGUGUGCAUUGGGGCUGAGUUAUGAGAAAAUGCACGCAUGCCCCAAUGAUUGCAUCUUGUAUAGGAAGGAGUAUGAAGAUUCAACUAAUUGUCCUACUUGUGGUAUCUCAAGGUGGAAGGAAGGCAAAGAUGCAAUCUUGAAAGAGGGUGUGCCAGCGAAGGUGGUGUGGUAUUUUCCCCCAAUUCCAAGGUUUAAAAGGAUGUUUCAAUCACAUGAGACAGCUAAGAGUUUGACUUGGUGGCAUGCUGCUAGAAAAUCAAUUGACGGUCAGAUGUCUCAUCCGGCGGAUUCCCCGUCUUGGAAACUUCUUGAUGAUAAAUGGCCUGAGUUUGGUAAUGAGCCGAGAAACUUGAGAUUGGCUCUUUCAUCUGAUGGAUUCAAUCCCCACAGUUCUCUAAGUAGCAGAUAUAGUUGUUGGCCGGUUAUCUUAGUUACAUAUAAUCUCCCUCCAUGGCUGUGCAUGAAACGAAAGUUCAUGAUGUUAACCUUACUGAUUUCCGGUCCUAAACAACCCGGAAAUGAUAUAGACGUCUACUUGGAGCCUUUGAUUGAUGACUUAAAAUCCUUGUGGGUUGGGAUUAGAGGAGUGUAUGAUGCACAUAAUGGAGAAUACUUUACACUCAGAGCUGCAUUAAUGUGGACAAUUAAUGAUUUCCCCUCCUAUGGAAACUUAUCUGGUUGUGUUGUUAAAGGAUAUAAAGCUUGUCCAAUAUGCGGCGAUGAUACACCUAGUCACAGGUUGAAAAAUGGCCACAAAAUUUGUUACAUUGGGCAUAGAAAAUGGUUACCAAUCAAUCAUCCAUAUAGGAGGCAACGUGCAGCUUUUAAUGGGAAACCUGAAUAUGGCAUACCUCCAGAGCCAUUAACCGGAGAAGAAGUGCUGCAUAUGGUUGAAAAUGGUGACAGAGUUUGUUGGAAGAAGAAAUCAAUAUUCUUUGAUCUCGAGUAUUGGAAAUACCUUCCUGUGAGGCAUGCCCUAGAUGUUAUGCACAUUGAGAAGAAUGUUUGCGAUAGUAUCAUUGGUACAUUGCUGGAGAUCCCUGGAAAAAAUAAAGAUGGGAUUGCUGCUCGAUUAGAUUUAUUGAACAUGGGGGUCAAAACUGAUUUGCAACCCGAGUAUGGAGAAAGACGUACUCGUUUGCCUCCUGGGCCUUGGAAUUUGUCAAGAGCAGAGAAGAGAGAGGUUUGCAAUUCUUUCUAUGGUAUGAAGGUCCCUGAAGGUUAUUCUUCAAAUAUUAAAAAUCUUGUAUCUUUACAAGAUUCAAGACUUCUUGGCCUUAAAUCACAUGAUUGUCAUACCUUAAUGCAACAAUUGCUCCCUGUGGCAAUUCGUUCUGUUUUGGAGAAGCCUGCAAGGUAUGCAAUAACUCGUUUGUGCUUCUUCUUCAAUGCUAUAUGUGCAAAGACUGUUGAUGUUUCCAAGUUAGAUAAGUUGGAAGAAGAUGUAGUAGUUACUCUGUGUUUGCUUGAGAAGUACUUUCCCCCUUCAUUCUUUGAUAUCAUGGUUCAUCUAGUAGUACAUCUUGUCAGAGAAGUUCGUCUAUGUGGGCCAGUAUAUUUUAGGUGGAUGUAUCCGUUUGAAAGAUAUAUGAAAGUGCUGAAGGGGUAUGUUCAGAAUCGUACUCGUCCCGAAGGUUGCAUUGCUGAGCGGUAUAUAGCUGAAGAAGCGGUAGAGUUUUGUACUCAGCAUUUAUCUGAUGUUAGUACAGUUGGAGUGCCUUCAAGCCAAAAGAUGGGAGUUUCAAAGCCAUUAUCAGGUUGCACAGUGAGCGUAGUUGAUCAGGACCUGUUGAAUCAAGCACAUCUAUAUGUCUUGGAGAAUACGGAGGAAGUCCUACCUUAUAUCGAGUACGUAUGAGUUUUAUUCUUUAAGUUUCCAUUUAAAAUUAUUUCUUAUGUUUAUCUUAUAUAUUUGGGACCGUAAUGCUUGAAUUUUUCGUGUCAUGUAGGCAACAUAUGAUCCACAUCAAGACUGCUUAUCCAAAAUUUAGAAAGAGAACAAAGUGGCUGCAGGAUAAGCACAAUAGCACUUUCAUUCAAUGGCUACGCUUCAAGGUAUAUGUUGUUGAAUAACAUAUUUCUCUUUUAAUUUUCUUCUUAUUUAUAUGUUAGAUUGAAUUAAGAUAUGAUUAAUUUGCAGGUUCAAAGUGAACUUGAGGAAGACAAUCAUGGCGUAUCAGAAAAUUUAAGGUGGCUAGUAGCUGGUCCAAACAUGUCAGUGCCAUUAUAUAGGAGCUAUCUUAUUAAAGGUAUUAAAUUCAAUAUCAAGGCACAAGAUGAUGUGCGGACAACUCAAAAUAGUGGAGUUUAUUUACUUGCACAUACCAUGCAAGUUGCUAGUGCCAAGGAUAAAAACCCAAUUCUCUCAAAUAUGGGUUUCUAUGGUGUCAUUCAAGAAAUUUGGGACCUUGACUACCAAAAGUUUACAAUCCCAGUCUUUAGGUGUGAUUGGAUAGAUAGUUCUGGUCUUGUAGUCGACGAACUUGGAUUUACCCUUGUAGAUUUGAGUAAAAUUGGACAUAGGAAUGACCAAUUUGUUUUGGCUUCUCAAGUCAAACAAAUAUUUUUUGUUGACGACCCGAUGCAUCGUGGUUGGUCGGUAGUGUUAUCAAUGCCUAAUAGAGAAUAUAAUGAUGUUAUUGGUGAUGAAGUCUUAGGUGAUGUGAUAAUUGAGUGUGAGCCAUUUACUAGAGGGAUGCCAAAUGUUGACACAUUUGAUGAACUGGUAGGUGAGUUAGGCGGUCAAAAUAUUCGAGAUGGGUGUGAAGAUAUAUGGAUUUAAUGAUGCUUAUGUAAUUGGCAGUGUAUGACAUUAAUUUUGUAAUAUAUUGUAAUGUGAUUUCUUCACUUUCUACGUUCAAAUAAAACACGACGUUAUUGUGAAUCAGUUAUUCAGCAUAUUUACCGACGUCUUAAAGCAACGUAACAAUGAAGAACCACGACGCUAUUGUGAAGCAAUUAUUCAGGAUAUCACGUCGGUGAAGGAUUAAGAACUGCCAUGUAAUUCAAAAUAACACGACUCCAAUCCCAUAAUACCGACGUCUAAAAAACGAGAUAUAUAAUCUGAACGUUAAAAAAUACGACGUCAUCAUACAUUUUCCACGUCGCAAGUUCUUUUAUAAACGAAGAGGAACGAAAUGAAUUCCGACGGAAAUUCAUUAUAACCGCUGUCUAAUAACAAUUAAACGACGUUAUUUGUAAUACGGCUCCCAUCAUAAUCUACGCCGUCUAUAUGUUCUGUAAUACGGCUCUCAUUUAUUUGGAACCGACGUUGUUUAGAAGUUCAACGGCGUCUAUAUUAUUAAGUGCGUCGUGAGUAAUGAAUACAUAUAAAUACAACGUCGACUAUAUAAAUGUAUACGUCGUAAAUAAUGACACUGACAACUAUUUCCACGUCAUCUUUUGUAGAAAAAUCGAAGUGGAAAAUUUAUUUCACGACGGUUUUUUGUAAAUAAGAGACGUAGUAGAUUUCAAUAACGUCGUCUUCUCAUGUAUUUAAAGACGUCAUAUUUUUUCUUGUCGUGUAAAUUAUAUUUAACGGCGUAGUAUUUUAGUUGUCGUCGUUGUAUGUAUAUCUUGCGGCCUUGUUCUUUUAAUAUGUGUCAUAUUUUUCCUUUUUAACGACGGUGAUUUUUUUGAGUUGGUCGUCUAUUCUCAUCCUCGACUAUUUUCUAGAACUUUAGCAGACUAAACACGUCUGUUUUUAUUUUUUUCCGACGUUGUUUUAUUUAACAACGUCUAAUAUUUAUCGUCGUUGUUUGUUUCUGAAAAUAGGACGUAUAAAUUUUGUAAUACGACUCUCAUAUAUUUGUAACCGACGUUGUUUAGUUUUUCAACGUCUACUCUAUAAACACAUACGUCGUAAAUAAUGACACUGACAACUAUUUCCACGUCAUCUUUUAUCGAAAAAUCGAAGUGGAAAAUUAAUUUUACGACGGUUGUUUUUAUAUAUGCGACGUAGUAGGUAUCAAUAACGUCGUCUUCUAAUGUAUUUAAAGACGUCAUAUUUUUUAUUGUCGUGAAAAUUAUAUUUAACGUCGUCGUAUUUUUAUUUUCGUCGUUGUAUGUCUAUCUUGCGGCCUUGUUCUCUUAAUAUGUGUCAUAUUUUUCCUUUUUAACGACGGUUUUUUAAGAGAGUUGGUCGUCUAUUAUCAUCCUCGAUUGCUUUUUUUAGAUCUUUUUGCAGUACAAAGACGUCGUUUUGUAUUUGUUGAUGACGUUGUAUAGUUUAACAACGACGGUUAUUUAGCGUCGUGGUUUAUGAGGGAAAAGAUGACGGUGGAUUCCACGACCAUUGAAAAACCCAAUACACGACGGUGAUUUACCGUCGUCUUUGUGCUUUUUUGUAGUAGUGAGCUAAACCAAUAUUAUUUUGCACAUACGACCCCACAUCCCCAUGUGAGGCUACAGAAGUGUUUCCAAAACGAAACAUGAUAUUUCAAAACGAAGCUAUGUAUAGAAUAGAGUCAUUUGUAUUUGCUUUCACAAUAACAUUUGAUUUGUGAAAGCAUUUUAUAUUUAUACAUUCUGAUAUUCUAACAAAUAAAUUGACUAAACUUGGCCAACAGGAUUUAGCCGAAUGGAAAAGUUCUUAUUUAUAAACUAGUGGUUUCAUAUUUGAACUCGAUGACACUCUUGUAGAGUGUGAAACCCUUUUUACCCUUAAAAUUUAGACUAUCACAUGCUGGGUGCCGUUAUUAAGUUUUAUCCUUGUUUCUUGUUGAAAAAAAAUUGAUAAAAAAUAAUAAUUCCUAUAGCUAGCAACUUCUCCACCUUCCCUUCUUCGCAACUAGGGAUGCCAUUGCAAGGUCACCAUCUCAGAUUAAGUCCUCCUUUUAAAAUUGUGCUGUUAUUCAAAAUUGCAAUAUGCUGGUCAUUCUUGAUAUAAUCUGUUCCACAAAAAGAAAAAGAAAAAAGUUGAUAGCAUCUUUUACCACUUUGGCCACUUUUGAACAUGUUCACCGACAAUUUCUCAAAAGCUAUUAAGCUGUACGUCCACAAUAUUAUUGCAUCCAACUUUGCAUGUGAGGCUACAGAAAAGUUUUGAAAACGAAACUGGAUAUUUUAUCUCUAACAGCUUUCAUACUUCGUUCACCCUGUGUUUCCAAGUUGUGCUAGCUAUUUGCAAACCUUGGAAUAUUACUUCAUCCAAAUCCCUUGCAGAGAAGAGAAAGAUAUGGCUUUGAUCGGAGAGGCCCUCAUCUCUGCUACCAUCCAGACGUUGUGUGACAAAAUUGCUUCGCCUGAGUUCACCGACUUAUUUCGGCAGAAAAAGCUCGAUGAACAACUCCUCAACAAGCUGAAGACGACGCUGUUGACCUUGUCCGUAGUGCUUAAUGAUGCAGAGGAGAAGCAAAUUGAGGAACCUUUAGUGAGAGACUGGCUUGACAAUCUCAGACAUAAUGUCUUGGCUGCGGAGGACUUACUGGAUGAAAUCGACACUGAAGCUUUGCGAUGCAAACUGGAAGAAGGUGAAGGUCAAACCCACAAUUUAACCAAGAAGGUACGUGAUUUUUAUCAACGCAUGAAUGUUGAGAUGAAAGAUUUAUUAGAAAGAUUAGAACAAUUUGUACAAGAGAAAAGUGCUCUUGGUUUGAGAGAAGGUGCUGGGAGGAAGGUUUCACAAAGAACAACAACUUCCUUGGUUCAUGAACCUUGUGUCUAUGGUAGAGAUGAAGUCAAGGAAAAUCUGUUGCAAAUUUUGUUAUCUGAUGAUGCAAGCAAGGAUGAUGUGUCUGUCCUCACCAUUGUUGGAAUGGGCGGGGUAGGCAAGACAACCCUUGCCCGACUGCUUUACAAUGACGAUAAGGUGAAAGAACAUUUUCCACUUCAAGCUUGGGUUUGUGUUUCGGAAGACUAUGAUUCUAAUAGGAUAACUAAAACUCUUCUAGAGUCAGUCACUUCAAAGUCUUCUGAUAAGACAGAUCUAAAUUUGCUUCAAGUUGAAUUAAGAGAAAAACUCCAGGGAAAGAAAUUCUUAUUUGUGUUGGAUGACCUAUGGAAUGAGAAAUAUGGUGAUUGGAAACGCCUCCAAACUCCUUUUACUUCUGGGGCAAGGGGAAGUAAAGUCAUUGUAACAACACGGAGCCAACAUGUAGUAUCUGUCCUGCAAAGUGUUCAUGUUCAUCACUUGGAACCCUUGUCGCACGAAGAUUGCUGGUUCUUACUUGCAAAACAUGCAUUUGGAAAUGAAAAUUGCAGUGAUCCAAACUUGGAAGAAAUUGGCAAGAAAAUUGCACACAAGUUCAAUGGGUUGCCUUUAGCUGCAGAAACACUUGGGGGUUUGUUACGUUGCAAUAUAGAUUCAGAGGAAUGGAAUACAAUACUAAAUAGCAGUAUUUGGGAGCUACCCUAUGAUAAAUGUGACAUUCUUCCGGCUCUUGGGUUGAGUUACCAUUAUCUCUCCUCCCAGUUAAAACGAUGCUUUGUUUAUUGUUCAAUUUUUCCAAAGGAUUAUGAGUUUAAAAAGGAAGAUAUAGUUCAAUUUUGGAUCGCAGAAGGUUUAAUUCCAAAAGCUGAGAAUGGAAAGAGCAUAGAAGCGGUAGCUAGAAAAUACUUUGAUGAGCUGUUGGCACGAUCGCUAUUUCAAAAGUCAAGCAAAUCCGGUUUCACAAUGCAUGAUCUCAUUAAUGACUUGGCCAUGUUCAUGUGUAAGGCAUUUUGCCUUAGGCUAGAAGGGGGGGAAUCACAUGACGUAGAAAAAGUUCGGCAUUUUUCAUAUGCUAUAGAAAGAUUUGAUGCAGCUCCAAAAUUUAAGCCAUUACAUGGGGCUAAGUUUAUGCGGACCUUUCUACAAGAUUUGUUGCCAUCACUAAGAUGUUUACGGGUGUUAUCAUUGUCACGUUAUCAAAAUGUUACUGUGUUACCUGAUUCUAUUGCAAACCUCAUUCACUUGCGCUACUUGGAUCUUUCCCAUACCGCUAUUGUUUCUCUCUCCUUGAAUUGCCUACAGACAUUAGAAAAUUGAUUAAUUUACAGAAACUGACGUUGAGAGGUUGUACGUCUCUUAAUAAAUUGCCUGCAGGCAUGAAGGAGUUGACUAAUUUGCAUCAUCUUGAUGUCAGUGGAACUAAAAUUGAAGAGAUGCCGGUGCAAAUGGGUAGAUUGAAAAGUUUGAGAACAUUGACUGCAUUUGUUGUGGGCAAAUCUACUGGGUCAGGCAUAAGAGAACUGAGGGAGUUCCCGCAACUUCAAGGAAAACUAUCAAUUUUGAAGCUACAAAAUGUAGUUGAUGCGAGGGAUGCACUGCACGCCAAUAUGAAGCACAAGAAAGAUCUCAAGGAGUUAGAGUUUUCAUGGGGUACGGAGGAUGCUGAUGAUUCCCAAAAGGAGAAAGAUGUACUCGACAAGCUCCAGCCUUGCAUGAAUUUGGAGAAAUUAACCAUCGGAUUUUAUGGUGGAACCAAUUUUCCGAAUUGGUUAGGAGACUCGUCUUUUUCUAACAUACGAGUCAUGCAUCUCAGUGACUGUAGUUAUUGUUGGUUGCUCCCACCAGUUGGACGGCUACCGGCACUCAAAGAGCUCUGUAUAGAAAGAAUGAAGUCUUUGAGGACGAUUGGCGUUGAAUUCUAUGACAGAGAUGGAGCUUAUCUGACUCAGCCAUUUCGAUCUCUGGAGAAGCUAGAGUUUAGGGAGAUGCCGGAGUGGGAGGAAUGGGUACCAAGUGGAAGUGCAAGUGGAGGUGAAUAUGGUCCAGACUUUCCUCGUCUCCAGGAGCUGAUUCUAAACGAGUGUCCGAAGCUAAGAGGAAGUUUGCCUUGUGAGUUGCCUUGCUUGAAGAAGCUUACGGUGUAUGGGUGUGAGGUUUUACAUGAUGGAAGGGCGGCUACCGCAACUACCAAUAGUCUUAACUAUAAAUCUCUGGAAGAAUUGGAUAUACAUGGUGGAUGCCAAACUCUGUUAUCAUUAUUAGAGACAAAGCUCCUGUCCCGACUUGACAGACAGUGCUUGCCCAACUGCAAUCGUCUUCAAAGUUUGACUCUUUCGAAUUGUCCAACGCUGUCGUCGUUUCCUAAAGAUGGCCUACCCAGUACGUUGACAUCACUUGAUAUAAACAAUUGUAGGAAAUUAGAAUUCCUACCUCAUGAGAUGUUGGCCAAAUUAACAUCGCUUGACUAUUUGUGCGUACAAAAUAGCUGUGAUUCAAUGAGGUCCUUCCCGUUGGGCAUUUUUCCCAAAUUGACGACGCUUCAAAUUCGUGGUUGUGAGAAUCUGGAAUCUUUUUCCUUGAUUGAAGAAGAAGGAGCUGUUGAGAAUCUUAGCCAUCUCAAUGACUUGCAAGUCUCUAAAUGUCCAAAAAUGGUGUGUUUUCACGAGGGAGAAUUGCCCACUCCCAACCUGAGUCACUUUGUAGUCAGUGAUUGCGAGAAUUUGAAGUCAUUGCCCGAACGCCUUCACACCCUCACAGCCCUUCGAUAUUUGUCGAUAUGGAAUCUUCCGAAUCUGGAGUCAUUUGCAGAAGAUGGGGGUUUGCCUCCCAACCUCCGAUCUUUUAGCAUUUGGAAUUGUAAGAGACUGAGGGCUUCAUCAGUGGGAGAGUACUGGGGUUUGCAAGCACUUGACUCCCUUGAGAUCGAUGGAAGUGACCAUGUCUUGGAGACGUUGCUGUUCCCUGCCACUCUUCACACUCUCCGCAUCUCUGAUCUAUCAACUCUGAAAUCUUUGGACGGAAAGGGUCUUGGACACCUCACUUCUCUUCAAAAGCUAGAAAUUGACAGCUGUCCAAGUCUGGAAUUACUGCCAGGAGAGGAACUUCAACACCUCACUUCUCUUCAAACUCUAAUUAUUAGUUCGUGUGGCAGUCUCCAAUGCCUGCCAGAAGAGGAUUUGCCGUCAUCUCUUUCUCAUCUGAGUAUCUGGCGGUGUCCUCCCCUGGAGAAAAGGUAUAAGAAUAAGACGGGACAAGAUUGGGCAAAGAUAUCUCACAUUCCUUGCAUCAAGAUAGGAUACGAACUGAUCAUAUAAUAUGAGCUAUUCCAUAUUUCAUGCUCAACCCUCAACUCUCAAAUCAAAGUCAGGUGAGGUGUGUGCCUUCUCUUACUUUAAAAAACUGCUUCUCUUCUUCUAAUUGAAUACAAAAACCAAAACACAUAUUCUCUUUCUCUUCCAAAAACCCAAAUACAUGUUGGACAUUGCCCAAAUUUGAUCUCCAAAUUCCUAAUUAUUUCACGCUUUUUGUUAUUUUAUGGUUGCUGGUCACAAAUUAUAUCCUACUUGGAGUAUCAAAUGCUGAAUAAUUAGCAGUCUUUUUGCAGGACGACAUACCUUCUCUUGGCCCUUGGGGAGCUUUUCAAAAUUUGCAAGGUUUCUUUAUGUGGCAUUUCCAGAGGAGGGUCACAGGGCGGAGAAACAGAAAAGGUUUACCUGGAAUAUCUCAUACAUUCCUGCAUGUAGGCAUCAAAUGUACACCAUUUUUAGGUACUUUUAUAUGAAAAAAAUUGUAUUUGAGUCUCAUUUGCACUAGUUUAAAUCAAAUUUAAUGCCUAUGGAUAGUCUAUUAAUAGGUUCAUGCCAUGAAUUAAUCUUUGGACUUUCCCAGGUACUGCAGGUUUGUUAUUAAUGUUGUGGCUAGGUUGUCUUACGUUGAGGAGAGAGAUCGAUCAGCAAUUACAAAAUUGUUAGCGAAUUUAGUUUGUUUAUCAUCUCUCUCCUUUUGUUUGUUAAGUUUUGUUGUUCUAGGUUAAACCCUUGUCCCCGCAUUUCACAGCAACUCUGUGUUAUUCCACUCUGUUUAGAUUUCAUUUAUGUUGUGAUUCGACUGCUGCUGUAUUUUAGAUUUCGUUCAUGUAAUGUUAGGAUGUUUAAUCUCUGAUCUGUGGUGGUAGUUGAGUAGUUGAGUAGUCUAGUUAAUCCAGUAGAUAACUUGUCCCCUGUUUUGUAUUGUUUUUAUUUCUCUGGUAAUGAAAGCACGUUUCUUAUAAAUAAAUAAAAAAUAUUUCAUUGAUAUUCAUUGCUUAUUUUGAACUGCAGAAGCCUACUUUUGUCAGAGUCAGUAGAUGCCAGAAUGAAGUCAUUGCCUAAACACAUUGGCACCCUCACAGCCUUCGACAUUUUGGGAUAUAUGAUCUUCAAAAUCUUGUGUCAUUUGCCUCCCAACCUGCAAUAUUUUCAUAUUUUAAAUUGUGACAGACUGAGCCCUUUGGUGGGAGAUUACUGGGGUUUGCAAGGACUUGGUGGCAAUAUCUUGUAGACGUUUCUCAAGGAACAGCUGCUCAAUGCCACUCUUCGCACUCUAUAUAUUAUGGCCUGUCAGUCUAAAAUUCCUGCCAGGAGAGGAACUUGAACGCCUCUCUUCACUGCAAAGGCUACAUAUUUGUGGGUGUGACAAUACCCAAUUCCUGCCAGAAGAGCGUUUGCUGCCAUCUCUUUCUUAUCUGUGCAUCGACCAUUGUUUUGCCAUGUAGAAAAGGUAUCUCACAUUCCUUGCGUCAAGAUAGGUGAAGAAGUGAUCAUAAGGUAUGAGCUCUCUCUCCCUCUCGCUCACAUACAAAGUACUUAAACACUCAAUCUGAUUUCUAUUAUUAUUUUGCUCAGUAAAUUUUGUUUAAAUUUGCUUUAUUUCUCAUUGCGCUUGUUCUGCUUAUCACAACUUAUAUCCUAUUUAAAUCUCAAAUGCUGAAUAAUUAGCAGGCUUUUCGCAGGACAACAUAUCUUCUCUUGGAGAGAUAUUCAUUUGCAAGGUUUCUUUAUGUGUCAUUUCCAGAGGAGGGUUUACUAUUUAAUAGAAAGGUUCACCUGGAAUAUCUCAACUGACACAUUCCCAAAUACAAGCAUUGAAUGCACAACAUUUUGAGGUACUAUUUUUGUAAUAAAAAUGUACUUGAGUCUCAUUUGAGCUAGUUUAAAUUGUAUUCAAUGUCUAUGGAUAACCUGUGAGCUUAAGUAGUAAGAUAAAACUCACAGUAUAUUAUUAGGGUUUAGGGUUCAACAGGUGAGCUUUAGUUGUACUUUCCUAGGUACUGCAUGUAUAUUAUCUUCGUAUCAACAGGUGGUCUUAUGUGGACGAGCGAGAACAUUGAGGAAUUACAAAAUCUUCUUAGCUUGUUUCAGCUCUGUUUGUCAUCCCUCACAUUUUCUUUGUUAAGCCUUGAUUUUUUAUUAGACAUAAGAAAAAAUGCUUUUAUAAGACAGGAGAUGAAUGCUUUUAUAUGUUGAUGUCAUAGUCAGUCUUCAACCACACUCUGUUUUUAGAAUUCAUUUAUGUUACAAGUGGAGUGCUGCUGUAUUUUAUAUUUCGUUCCUGUAAUGUUUGGAUGUUUAGCUUGAGUAGUCUAGCUUAUCCAGUAGAUAACUUGUCCCCUGUUUUGUAAUGUUUUUGUUUCCUCUAAUGAAAGCAGGUUUUACUUAUCUUGAAUUGCAGAAGCCUACUUUUUGACAUAGGUGGCAUGGCACAAACUCGCAUCCGCAUUUCCUUCCCCAUUGGCAUGCUGUCUCAUCUUUUCUAUUCUGUUACCAGCUUGAAGCUUGUGUAGACAUGUUAUGCUCUUGUAAUUCUGAUCACAAACAUCACUUGACAAAUGGAAAGUCACAAUCAGAUCUUUCAGGUGAUCUGGAGGUUUACUUUCUAACAUUUGUUUUCGUGGGGGGGGGGGGGGAGGACAACAAUACAGAAUUUAAAAUUUCUGAUAAUCAAUAGUAGUUUGCAUAUAUCAGCUGGGACCUGUAUGACUGUAUUAUGUAAUUAAUUAUUCUCUUAUUGUUUUGGUACUGUUAAAAGGAGUUAGCCACACAAAAUAAAAAAGGAGGCCUCUUAUUUCAUACUAAUCGUCUGGUCCAUCUGCUGCUUCACUCCCUAGUAGCUUCAUCUCCUGUCCUUUGCUUUAUUUCUGUUAUUUAUUUUGAUUUCAUGUCCAUUGCUUCAUUUCUGUUUGGAUUCUUAAUUAAAUCUGUCCUGGACUUGAACAAGGGUUAGGUUAGCUGUAUAAUUUGCGGUUUUAUAUACACAACUGUCUACAUUGAUUAAAACCAGCAUUAUUCUAAGGUUCAUUUAGAAUGUAUUAUCACCAAAAUUAUAAAGUAUACUUCUAUUACAAUUAAUUUGUUGAUUCUAAUUUGGACUUGUAGGAACAGACCAAACAUGUUCAUAUGUGGCAUUGCUCAAGUCAUCAUCAUUCGGGACAGAGAAUAAGCCUUCAAAUGUCUGCUGAGUCAAUGAACCUUUCUAGAUAUCUCAAGUGUAAUGGAAAUUGAUGAGUUACAAAGGAUUUGUAAACAUUUUCUACUGGAGGCUAGAAAUGCUUCAAAUAAAUGACUGUGUUGCAAUUAUUUUGUAGGAUCAAAGACUCUGCAAAGAGGUAAGAAAGUCAUCAUCAAAUAACUUUGCUCUUCAAACUUUUUAUUUUUAUUUUUAAAUAUCAGUAAUAACUGGGAAAGCUUGCAUCUCCUUAAAUUGCUCAUUCUUACAUCUUUUAUAGUUUGUUGAUCUUGGGCAAGUGGAGAGAGAGGCGUCAAGUGAUACACAACAACCAUUUUCUGUGAGCUGAUUUGAUAAAGAGAAAUGGUAUGCUUUCUUGUCUUAAGCGGUGUGUUCUGCAAUUAUUUGAAACAAAGGAUGCCGCACUUCAAGUUCGAGAAAAUCAGGUAUUUUAGUAUUUUAUUCUUGAGAAAUUUGAUUUAUGUAGAAACUUGAACAUGUAAAUGAGAGAAAUAUAUAUAUAUAUAUAUUAUAUAUUGUAUAUGCUGUUAAUGAGUUAAUAUGGUGCUUGCUCCUAGUUGGAAAUUUAUGUAGUCAUCUACCUAUGAUCAAAUAAAGAUGAAAAAUAAAAUAAAAUUGAGAGCAUCUUCCUCUCCCCUGCUUUGCUCAUCCCUUGUUCUUCCACUUCAGCCCCACUAUUACACCAUUUUUUCAGCCACAAUUAUAAUAGCUCCAUGAGCAUAUUAACAUCAGUGGCCACAGUUCCAUGAUUUGAGUGCACAGAAAGGUUUCAAAAAUUGUCCCAAAAGUACAGUCGUUCAAAGUGAAAGAGAGUUUUCAAAGCUUAAUUACAAGUUCAUGUUAUUUACAAUAGCAAAAAGCUUUCAUUCUUGCUUACAAACUUGUAUUUCCAAGUUCUGUAAACCUUGGAAUUUCACUUCAUCCAAAUCCCCUUCCAAAGCAGGAAAAAAUGGCAGCAGCUUUGAUUGGAGAGGCUCUCAUCUCUGCUUCUAUCGAGGUGUUGUGUGACAGAGUUACUUCAGCCGAGUUCAUAGACUUAUUUCAGCAGAAGAACUUGAUGAAACACUCCUCAUGAACCUGAAGACAACACUGUUGAUUUUGUUUGCGGUGCUCAAUGAUGCAGAGGAGAAGCAAAUUGUGAACCCUGCUGUGAGAGAGUGGCUUAACAGCUCAAGCAUGCUGUCUUUGAUGCAGAGGACUUAUUUGAUGAGAUUGACACUGAAGCUUUGCGAUGCAAGCUGGAAGGUGAGGAUCAAACCCACAAUAGUUAACCAACAAGGAUCUUUUUGAUUGUUUGAAAGAAGAGUCUUUGAUGAUUUGAAAGGAGAGGGUUGCUUUAUUUCUGUUGGAUGCGUAAUUAAAUCUUAUUUGGAGUUGAACAAGGAUUAGAUUAGCUGUAUAAUUAGUGGUAAACGCCUUUUUCUAAGGGUCAUUUAGACUCCUAUUACGAUUAAUUUGUUGUUUCUAAUUUGGACUUAUAGGAACAGACCAAAUAUGUUCACACGUGGCAUCGCUCAAGUCAUCAUCAUUUCAGACUGAAAAUCAGCCUUCAAGUGUCUGUUGAGCCAAUAAACCUUUCUAGAUAUAUCAAGUGCAAUGGAAAUUCAUGAGUUACAUAGAGAUUUGUAAACAUUUUGAAGAUUGCAACACCUGCAAGUGAGAUAGGCGGUGACGAAAUCAGAGCUGAUUUUGAAGCCUCUGAUGCCCCUGUUGUUGCAAGUUGCACCUGAGAACAUGUUUUUUUUUUCUUUGGGGUAAAAAAACUGGCAACAUGUUCGGAGCUGACAAUUCAAUCCCUGAUGAACUAGAGAAGCGAAGCUCCGGUAAGGAAUUGGUCAAGGUUGUGACAGGGAUGAUUGAUGGUGAAAUGGAUGCUAUUUCUUAUUGCAGCCUGUUCUCAAAGUUCUUGUUGGCAAAUGCAAGAGAUGGAGUAUUUUGAUUGGGAGGAGAUAUAAUGACAUGGCUUGACAAUUCUAGAACAGCCCAUCAUUAAUCCCAGAAAAAAUCCAGUUUCUGCUAAACAAUCACUUAUGGCAAGGCCAACUCUGUAAAUGGAAUUUGUGAUCCCUUGAAAUUGUACACAUUUUUUCUUUUUGAGGAAUUUAAUCAAACAGUAUUCUAAUGUAUUAUGAUAGCACUACACGCUUUUGUUGUAACAAAUUACAAGGAGGAAUUUGGAUUGAGUUUCUUGUAUAAGCACACCUUACACAAAUUUGGUAUAUUUUCUUCCAGCAAGUCUGUUUAUUAACCCCCUUAUCUGAAAUUAAUUGUUAAAAGUUUUGAUUCAUCUUUAAUCAGUGUCUAACCCUUGUUGAAUAACACUCCUCUUUCUAAUUUAUAUUUGAAGUUUGAGGUUUCAAUUUCAAUUGUGGGCUUUGAUUUUACAGAUUUUGUUUGUCAAUUUCAGUUUGGACAAAGCAUAUGCAAACAAAAUAAGCAUUUUAUGUUAUACUUUUGAAAUAGGUGUUGAUUUGAUUUAAUCAUAAGUUUUGCUGGUGCAUUUACUAGGCUAUCAUUCAAUACUUUUGAUCAUAGAACUUCUUUGGUCGAUAUUAUCUUUGUUAAGUUUAACCAUAAAUUUAGAGAGGGGACUUCAACAGAUUUAUAAUCUCAUCAUUAUAGUAUUAAAAAUUAGAGAUUAAGGCAUUGUCUAUUAUCUGAAUUCUGCUUACUUUUAGUUCAUAUGUUUACAUCUUAGCAUAUUCAUGCGAUUAGUGCGGCUCAUACCACAAAGGCAACUUUAGGCUCAUCAAGUGCUAAGCAAUGUCAAGCUUCCAAGUGACAAGUUCUCUACAUAGUUUGAGACCUACACUUACUAGAUAUUAGAUCAUUUCGAUCAUUUCCAUAUGUUUAUAUGUAAUUGACAUGUUAUAACAAUUUUUGUAGCGUUAUAUAAUUAUUUAGCAAUUUAAUUAUUUCUUUGCAUCAAGAAAUAGUUCUUAAGUUAUUAAAAAAAAAAAAAAAGAUUUAAAAAAAAAGAUUUGUUGAUGCUUAAAAAGCAUCAAGAACAGGUAGUUUCUUGACGGUUUAGUGACGUUUCAUAACUGUAGGAGGCUUUUUCUUCCGACAGCUGUAAAUGGGCUGGGUUGCCGUAAAGGGCAGACUGAUGAAAUUGUCCCCUUUUGUCUGAGCUAGAAAAUUAAGCCCCAAAAUACUUCGAAAGGGCAGCAGAGCCUUAGGAAGUAUUUUGGUUACCCUCACCAACUAAAACAACAACAACUUACAGGUAAUUUCUUAAUGCUUACAGAUGAACUCUUGAGCUUGGCAUGAGAGACAUGUGGCAUGGAAGCAAAAUCAACAUGAGUUUAGCACUGAGGGGAAAUUUAGGCUCUCUUGGGGGAAAAAGGGAAGUGUUAAGGUGAGAGAGGAGAAGUUUGUAGGAGAUUUAGCUAAGAAAGGAGAAAUAUAGAACAAUGCUCUUCUGGCAGCUUGACAGAUGCUCUGUCUGCCAGAAAAGGAAGAUGGAGAAGAAAUGUGAAUAGUGCACGAGUUUGCUAGAUUUUUGCAGGUAAGAGAGGAAGCUUGCUCUCUGGGUCUGAGUUGAGUUUUGUUAGGUGGAAGAGACCUCAUUUUAUAGCUCCUGGAAACCAUCACUUCCCAAGAAACCCUAAUGGCUUCUACCCAUUUUGGCCAAGCUUUUCCAUUCCUUUCUCAUUUCCUUCCUUGACUUUACCCCUCUUGAUGAAAUCCUCUCUACCUAUUUGCACCAGAUCAGAGUUUUUUGAAGCUUAAGGCCCCCUUUUCCCGCAGUUGUCUCAAUGGGAGACUUUCAUUCCUAGUCAUUUCCUUUAUUGCUUUCCUUUCUUUUUUUCAUGGCCAAGUCUGGUGGGGAAAGGAGUUGGGAUAAAUAUGCUAGUUUGAAGGGUGCUUCUCUUCUUGGCAUCUUACACACUAAUACCCCUUGGUUCCUUGAAUGUUUUGGCUUUGAAACUUGCUCCCCUCCAUGUAUUGGAACCUCCCAGCAGCCCUGGUCAAUGAAUCUUCAGACCUUCUCUUCGUGGCUUUUAUUUUUUUAUCAACUGGCUAGGGCUUUUGUGGCUCAUUGGGGCAAUUGUAUGGGCUAAGGUGGUUCAUUAAGUAAGUGGGCUAUUUUUAUUAAACAUUGAGCUUUUUGGUUGAGUCACUAGGCUAUUUUGAUUGGGCUAUUGGGCUAUUGUUUCCUCUCUUGUGCUCACCCACAUGUUUGGACCAAAGAAAUGAGCUUGAGUCCUGAGGCUCCCAAGCGACCCGAGACUUUCCAUUUAUCGGUCCAUCAAUGGGCCUCAUGUUGAUUUAUUACCAUCCAUACCACACCCCACUCAAGCAAGCCCCGGGCAUUUGAGUGGCUUGGGCCCACUUAGGCUUGUAGUGUGGUUGGGUGCAAAAUAACGAUUUCGUGCUUGGCAUGUUUUAAUUUUAUCAUCCAUGGGAAAGGCUGCGAUGUUUGAUUUCGGCAUGGGCUUGUAGAGCUGGUAUGCUUUAUUUCAACUCCUAGCAUGACGAAUUAUUUAUUUAGCAUGGCACGUGAAUUACAACUCGCAUGUGGUGGGUUUUUGUGUACUACACCUUACGCCUCUUCUUAAUAGAACAUCGUUUCUGAUAAUUUAUUUGGGCCCAACCGUGAAUUUUUUGGAUCUCAAUAAUAACCAUCAUGAAACAUUACAUUUUGACUGACAUCAAGAAAUGGGGUAUCCCUUUCUUGAUAGUGGCAUCCAUGAUGCCUUCCAAGCCGUCAAUUAAGGGCUAUCGCGAUGCAUUUUAGUUGUCAGCAAAAGGUGUUUUUCUUGUACUAUAUUCACUCAAAAUCGUGUUUCAUUUAAGAUUAGUAGUAUGGUUGAAUACCAUUUGUUUUGUUAAAGAAUAUUAUACAUUAGGGAUUUUUGUAGAAAUGUCAUUUGAACUUAUACCUUAGUUUCAAUUUGUCACCUUGAAGAAAAAUUUAAGAGAAAUAUCACCUUAAUUUUUUAAAAUCCAUGAUUUGUCAUAUGACUUUAAGAUCAUCCAAUUUUCCAUCCAUUUUAAGGGUAUUUUAGACUUUUCAUUUUCAAGGAAAAAAAAGAGAUGAAAAAAGAGACCUCUCUCUUACUUUGUCCCCCAACCCAACCCCACCCGCCCCCAAAAACACAUCACAUAGGAUUGCCUCCCCCUUCCCCACUUUUCUUUUUUCUUUUUGUCAUACUUUUCCACUGUGUUUAUGUUGAAGGAUCUAAAGUUUGCUUGGUCACCAUCUUUUACGUAGGCUUCCUAAUUGUUGGUUUGGGUGGGUUGUGGGAAUUUGUGUGUGGAGGGCAAGGCUCUAUCUGACAGGACCCACCUCGAAUUCCUCGAAACCCGAGACGAAUCUUGUAGAAUUUCCGACAUCACACCGAUGCCGGGUCCACUUCUGAACUAAAUCCUCUUUUCCAAAAUUAAGGAAAAAUAGUACGAGGCUUUCUGCCAAAAUUUCGGCAGUCUUCCCUAUAAAUUUAACGUUUCAGCUUUGGAGGCCGUUCUUUCAUUUCUGCUUUGGUGGCCGGAUGAGAGAACGGCCGGCUAAAACGUGGCCAGCUGGCACUGCCGUCACGAGAGAGAGAGAGAGAGAGAGAGAGAGAGAGAGAGAGAGAGAGAGAGAGAGAGAGAGAGAGAGAGAGAGAGAGAUGUUUAUCAAACCAUUUUUGCCAAAAUUACGAUUAUGCAACUGAGGGUAUUUUGAUCGUAUCUUUUUCGUUAUAACUCCGAUUCAAGCCCACUACAUAUCUACGGACUCAUCUCGCCGUGCUCUAUGCAAUUGUAUAGUUGAAAUUCCCAAAUUCCAUCCCAGUCAAAAAGUCAACUUUAAACCUUAUAAAAUAUUCUAAGGGCAAAAUGGUCUUUUAUCUAAUUAAAUUAAUAAUUGAAAAUUUAUUUAGGACCGGGUCGUUACACUGUCGUUGAUGGACUGUGCGAUGGCACUCACACAAAGUCCUUAAGAAUAAAACACACACACACCAUGAAGAGAGUAAAACAAAUGCACAAAGAUUUAUAAAGGUUUGGCCUCCUGCCUACAUCCUCUUGGUGAUCCACCCGAGAAAUUCACUUGUACGUAAGAACAACUUUGGUUACAACUAAACCCCCUUAGCUUUCAUAAGAACCCUAGAUCUCUUUUCUCCCACCCUUGCUCCAACCCUUUGAUGCCCUUGUAAACACUCAAGAAUUCAUCCUUGAAUUCUAUCAUGUGUUACAUCUUCUCUUCUCCCCUUUGCCAACCUAACCCUACAAGUUAUAUUUAAAAUUCAUUGGACUUUAAGUACAAGUUAACUAGGAAUAGGAAACAUAAAAGACCCCAAAAAUUGGAGAAAAUAUGUCUAGAUCUCAUUAGGAAAUUGCACAACACGUGCGAUCCUCUCGAGCGCCUGCAAAAUCAUCCCUUUGCCGCUCGAGCUGCCGAUAGCUCAUGGGAUGGGGGAAUUAGAAAUUUUUUUUUUUCAAUUUUAAUUGUUUAAAAGAUAUACAAUUUAUUAAUAAUAAUUUUUCCAUUUUUAAAAUACCCUUGAAAAUAGAAAGAUUAAAAUGCCCUUAAAAAUGGAUGGAAAAUUGGAUGGUGUUAAGGUCAGAUGACAAAUCAUGGAUUUUGAAAAAUUAAGGUAACGUUUCUCUUAAAUUUUUCUUUACAGUGACAAAUUGAAAUUGAGGUAUAAGUUCAAGUUACAUUUCUGCAAAAAUUCUUAUACAUUAUGAUAUUCUAACAAUAAUUGGCUAAAAUUGAUAUGUUCCCUCUUUUAUUUUCUUUUUCUCUUUUCCUUUUCAUUUUAUGAUCCAAUCCUUUUCAUAUAUUUUUGUUCAAGACUUUGUUUUAUAAUGCUCUAUUACUAAUUUGGUACAGGUCCCUAAAAUCUCGGAGCCGCCUUAGUACAUUCAUAACGUACAUGUUCAGAGUUCAAGAAUAAUGUAUAGAAUGUGAAAUUGACGAUGCCGGCCUUUAUGAGGCAACAUCUUUAUUUCUUUGGUUAUUCCAGUUUAGAAUAUUUGCACAAAUGAGAUGACUCCAAGCAUAAAGUCACAUUCGACCAAAAAGCAUAAAGUCACACACAAAAAGAACACGGACAAUUGCUAAGUUUAUCCUUGUACCCUUAUUUUAUUGAUCCGACCCAAUUGAAAAAUAAAAAAAGAUGAUAAAAAAUAUUGUUCACUGCUUUAAAAUCUAUGAGUAGAGUCCUCCAUUUGAAAUUUGGUCAUUAUACAAAAUUGGAAUGAAAAAAGAAAAUCCUAAAGCUAUAUUUGAUAUAUUUCAUUUUCAUUUUUUGCUGGGUGUUAGGGCUCGUCAAUGGGCCGGGCCUGGCUAGCCCGGCCCGAAUUUAAUGGGCUUGGGCCAGGCCGGCCCAGGCUUUAAAGAGGAGAGAGAAAAUAUCAGGUCGAGUUUUUUAAGAAAAUUCAAAGCCCAAGCCUGACCCAUGAGCCGGGCUUGAGAAAGCCCAUCGGGCCGGGCCGGGCCUAAACGGGCCCUACUUCAUUCAAAAAAAAUCAUUAACUUAAUCAUAAGGUCAUUUUAGUCCAAAUUUGAGAUUAAACUCACUUAAUUCUAAUAUUUUUACUUCAAACCAAAUUCAUAAAACACCCAAUAAAGUCACACAACUUGUAAGAUUUUCCACAAAAAUAAUAAAACCAAGUAUUAUUUUUGAGGUUAUUACAUAAUUAGAUCGUAAUACGUUUUAAAAAAUAAUUUUUAAAAAUAAUAUUAAUAAGUAUCAAAAAAAUAUUUUUUUAAAGGAUGGUAUGAAUAAAUAUGCAAAUAUUUGGUGAUGUGUUCAAGAAAAGGAUGAUUAUAUUUGGUGGUACGAUUAUGUUUCGUGAUACGAUUAUAUUUAGUGAUGUGAUAUGUUGUUCAUCUUAUAUAUAUAUAUAUAUAUAAUUGUUGAACUAAUAAUUGACACAAAUUAAUGUGUUAAUCAUCCAAUUAUAAACUAGGAGUGAAUAAAGAAAAGUAAAUGAAAUGAAACAAAUUAUAUGUGUGAUUUAAGUGAUAUAAUCCUAAACCUAAACUCUUAUUUAUACAUAAUUAUAUAUGUAUGCGGGCCUAACGGGCCGGACUUUUGUGGGCGUGUCGGGCCGGGCUUUCUUGGGCUUAAUCAGGCUGGACCUAUGGGUCAGGCCGGGCUUCAAACACCCCAACACGAGCCUAGCCUAGCCCGCCUUGGGCCGGGCCAUCUCAAAGCCCAUAACGAGCCGGAUCGGGCUUUUUUCGAUUGGCCGGGCGGGCCCCCUCGACCCAUGAGCCCGCGGGCCAAAUGAUGAGGCCUACUGGGUGUUCAAUUUUUCUUGUUUCUUGUUGAAAAGAAAAAUGAUAAUUAAUAAAAUCUGAUUUGGUGGUUGUGCUCGUCACAAAUCAAUGAAAUGACAGCAGUGAUUUUGCAAGACAGCAUACCUUCUCUUGGGGUGCUUUUCAUUUUGCAACAUUUCUUUACGUGUAAUUUCCAGAGGAGGGUUUAUCAUUGUAUAUAGCUCUUCGGGUGGUUUUUUCUGCAAAACAAAUGUCACAAGGAAGGAGGAGAAACGGAAAAGAUUUACUUGGAAUGUCUCAAGUCUCCUUUGAGAUAAAGGCAUCGAAUGCACAACAUUGUUUUUGUGCUAUUUCAUAAUUAAAGUGUGCUUCCCAAGUCUCCUUUGCGUUUUGUAACUUGUAAUGUUUGUUUUUUUGUUUCCCCUGUUUUGUCUUUUAUAAAAGAAAGAGGAAUGCUAGCAACCUUCUCUCUAAUCUUCUCUUUUGGACCUUCUCCCUUUUCUUUUUGACAAGUGUCAUUUUCCAUACACUUAAAACAAUGACAUUAAUGCAUCACACAAUUUAGUUUUUGUUUUCCAAGUUUACCAUUUUAAAAUGUAUUGGCUUUUAUAUUUCCUUCAAUUAUUCACAUUUUGUUAUAACUUGUUUAGCACAUUAUUUUUUUUAAUUUAAAAAAAGUCAUAUUUUUUAAAAAUAAAAAUAAAGUUUGUUUCAUGACAUUGUUAUCAUUUUUAUUUUGUUUUUAACAAAACACGCAUUCUCUUUGGAAAAAUUAAAAAUUAAAAAACAAUUCAGUUUUUAUUUUCUUAUUUAAUUUUUAACAAGCUAGUAAGAAAGUUAUAAAAAAAAAUUAGCUUGUUAUUAAAAAAAAAUUAAUACAUUUAAUAAGGGUAAAUUUGGAAAACAAAAACUAGUUUGUGUGAUGCAUUAAUGACAUUGUUUUUAGUUUAAGGAAAGUGACACUUGUCAUGAGAAGAAGGGAGAAGGUCCAAAAGAGAAGGUUAGAGAGAAGGUUGUUAGCACUCCCCAUAAAAGAAAUACAGGUCUGAACCACACGGAUCUACUUGCAUAAUAAUGGACCAAAUUUAUGAUUUUUAGAAAGAACCUUCUACUGGUGGAAUCUUGGGCUACUGUUGUGGCUCUCCUCUGUGUGCCUCCUUUUUAGAAUGGUAAAAUAUUCAAAAUACCAGAAAAUGUUCAUGAUUAAUGCAAAUAUUAAGAAUUGAAAUUAUUAAUUAAAUGAAGAUAAUAUGGUAAAUUCACACUUUUUCAUAUUAAAAAAAUUAAAAUUAAAAGAAAUAUCAGAUAAUUACUCUUAUUUUUAUGGAACACAGCUACCCAUUAUCUUUUUUAAUUAUAAAAUAAAUUUAAAUUAUAAAAAAAAAAUCCUCUCACAUGCACGGAAGCGCGUGCUCAGAGGCUAGUUAAAAAUAAUGAACUUUGCUUCUGAUGUCUAUACCAGACCCACUCAACCUGCUUUAUGAUUAUACAAAGAACAAACUCGUCCUUAGACUCAUUUGGUUAAACUUAGAAAAUAAUGAAACAAAAAUAUACACACCCACAAGUAACACAGCCAGGAUUGAAAACAACUGGACAAAGAAAGGCAUGUUAAAACAGAAUUUUCAACAACUCAUCACCAUUAGACAAGAAAAAGAAAAAUCAAUACAGAAACAGAAAGAACAGAGAAUAAAUGUGGUGGAAGAAAAACGUUGAAGCCAUUUGUGAAUCCAACAACACUACCACUCUGUUUCUCUCCUUUUGUUCAGGCGGAUCUGCAUAUAUCCUAAGGCGUAUUACGGAAACAACUUCUUGCCGUUAUACUUGAAUGUUGUGGAUGCUUCAACGUUGCCAUCUGGGUGGAGUGGAUUUGUCCAAUUCACCUUCACUAUGGUUAAUCAACUAGACAGACAUAAGUCAGAAACAAUAGGUAUAUAGGUCCAAAUUGUUGUUAUUUGAAAGGCUUCUAAAUUUUAACAUUUUGAUUUCUAAAUUUUGUUUUAAUAUUUCGGCCCACUUAGUUCUUCUCAAAAUAUGUCAUCAAUAUCGUUGAAAGGUUGAACUUAGUGAAUUAUUAUAGUGCAGUACGGUAAAAUAGGCACAUGAUAUAAUUUGUCCACAUGUUCUAAUAUAAGUGAAUAUUUAUUGAUAUUAUUUUCAAAAAUAAAAAAUAUCAACCAUUACAUCCUCCCAUAUUAUAAUACAUAUACAAAUUAUACCACAUUAUCAUACUCUAAUACCAUUUUAUAAUUUCUCGUACUUAGGAGGUAUAGAGCGAGUCAAUGACAUUACAUAAUAUAUAAUUGUUCAUAUAAUGGGGCAACUAACGUGAUCAACAAGUUGUGGUGAUUAAUUUAACAUAAUAAAAAACAUACCAUUUACUAUGUAACAAUUUGUUCUUUUAAAUUGGAUUGUCAUCACUUUAAUAUGUUAUGUUUCUUAUUCUAGUCUCCCAUGUUAAGUGCUUCAGCAUUGUUUGUGGUGUGUACACAAAUUUUCUUAUAAAAUGUUUUAAUGCUUCUCACAUGUAUAUCAGAUAUAGACAGUUGAUGUGACUUAGAAAUCAAAUUGUCAAUAAAGAAAAAAAAUAUAAUUGGUGAUCGAGGUCCAAUUUAAUAGAAAAUAGUCUUAAUUUGUAUAUUAAAGGUUUCAGAUUCGAAUCCUCACUGCAUUAUUGUUGUAUGCGUACACGAGAAAUUCUAUUUCCCAAUAAUUUAGAUUAUCACUUAUACUAAAAAAAAUAUAUAUAAUAAGUUUUACGAAUGCAAACAUAAAAUUACACCAAACAAUAAUGGAAUAGAAAGAUGGAAGUUUUUUUUUUUUCCUACAUCUAAAGUAUACUUUAUAUAUAUAUUUAUUAUGGGAGUUAUAACCGUUUAAUUUUCAGUUUUUAUUUUCUAUUUAUUGUGUUAAUUUUUAUGGUUUAAUAUGUAUGGAGAUUACAAGUAUUGGAUGUCUAUAAAGGGCCACUCCUCCUUCACAUCUGAAACAAACCACCAUCUCAUUUCUGUAUUUUCAUACUUUCAUAUAUUUUCUACUUUCCAGAUUAUUAUUUUUGGGCAACGGUUUUGUGACUUGGAGAUUUCUAUCCGAUUGUUAACAUGCUCAUAACGGACCUUGAGCUUGCGUAUUGGGGAUCGUAUCUUGGAGCCUUGUAGACCUUUAUUACGUGCAUGUAGGGAGGCUACAAAUGCUUUAGGUCAGCGUCUUUGACGUACUUUUGCUUUCUUUUUUUACUUAUUUCUUCGUUUCUUUAUUUUUACUUUACUUUUAAAUCUUUAUUUUAUGUAUUAUUUAUAUUUAAAAGUUUUGAAUAAGAGUUUUACAGAAAAGGAAAAACACAAUUUCAAAUAACACAAAUUUCUCGUUUUUUGUUCUUAAAAAAGAAGAAGCAUUGAUUGGGGAGUUAUGGUAAACUCAGUUUCAAUGGUUGCGAUGAGAGGCGGUGGCGGCGAGGAGAGGACGAAGGCUUUGCUGCCGACGGGGUGGUGUGGCUGGCUGCUUGGUCCUGGGUUCUCCUUUAAUUCUCUGUUUUCUUUUUUCAUUUUCUUUUUCUCUUAGAGUUAUUGAUGUUAAGUGAAUGGACAGAUGCCAAAAUAGGGACAGAAGAUGUGAACCCAAUUAUAUACAGCUGCUGCUAUAGCUGAUUACAUAAAGUAACAAAUUAAUUAAUGCUUGAGUGGAGGACAGGCUUGAGUGGAAGAAUUGAUUAAGGCUUGAGUGGAAGACAAACUUCAGUGGAGGAAAGUAUAGAUAAGGAAAGCAUGCCUCGUUUAACGGCUUUAUCUAAUAAAGAUUACUUGUUGGCACUUGGAGUUUCUUAGGAAUGCUGGUUUUGUUUCCUUGGUGGACUUGAAAGGUGGUGCCUUGGCUCGGACAUCUCCCAAGACAUACAACUGCUCAUUAGCUGAAUAUCUCGCUCUCUUUAAAGAGAUCGAAGCAAACACAAUUUGCAAUUUGUGUGAUUCAAGCAUGAAUAUCUGAUAUAGUAACUAUACCAUUUGUUGGUUUGAUAAGAAAAGUUUGGUUAGCGAGGAUGAAACCAUAAAGUUCCCAAAACACACAAAGAACACGGACAAUUGCUAAGUUUAUUCUUGAGUUCACACAUAUUUGCACAAAUGAGAUUAUUCCAAGCAUGAUUAUACCAUUUGUUGGUUUGAUGUGAAAAGUAUGGGCAACGAGGGGUAAAACCAUACAAACACACACGAAGAACGUGGACAAUACUAAAUUUAUCUUUACGUUAUUGAUCCGACCUAACUGUAAAAUAAAAAAGAUGAAAAUAUAUAAUGUUCAGUACUUAGAUCUAUGAGCACUUGCACAAAACAUCACUUUUGGUCUUUGGUAAAUUUUUAAAAUAAAUGAAUUUUUUACUUAUUUGUGAACUGAAAUGCCUCUAAAAAAAUAAUGAUAGUUCGAAGAAUUUGAUAGAAAUUAAAAAAUAUCCUCAAAUUACUUGGAAUUGAAGACCACAUAGGCAAAAACACGAAAUUGAAACCUCACUUUAAUGAUAAAAAUGGUAAACUACAAAGACAAAAAUGACGUCUUGCCUUAUAAAUAAUUGGAAUUUGCUGGUGAUAAUAGUCGAUAUCAUCUUUUGUCGGUCCGACCUAAAAAGAAGAAAAAGUUAAAAGCAUCUUGUACCAAUUUUUGCCAAUGUGGGCCCAAACAAUUUGAAGAAGUCCACCGGCAAUUUCUCAAAAGCUAUUGUGUGAGUGUGAAGCUAAACCAAUAUUAUUUUGCAUAUCCGACCCCACAUCCCCAUGUGAUGUGAGGCUACAGAGGUGUUUCCAAAACGAAAUAUGAUAUUUCAAAACGUAGCUAUGUAUAGAGUCAUUUGUAUUUGCUUUCACAAUAACAUUUGAUUUUAUAUUUAUACAUUCUGAUAUUUUAACAAAUAAAUUGACUAAAUUUGGCCAACAGGAUUUAGCCGAAUAGAAAAGUUCUUAUUUAUGGACUAGUAAUUUUAAAUUUAAAAUUUAGACUAUCGCAUGUAUUUAAAAAAAACUAAACAAUUGGCUUAAUUUGAUAUAUUUCCUUUUUUUCCUUUUUGCAUUUUAUGCUGGUUGCCGUUAUUAAGUUUUAUCCUUAUUUUUUGUUGAAAAGAAAAUUGAAAAAAAUAAUAAUAAUUCCUACAGCUAGCAACUUCUCCACCUACAAAAAAUAAUAUUUUUUGUUUUAUCCUCAUGUGAGGCUACAGAAAAUUUUUGAAAACGAAACUGGAUAUUUUAUCUCUAACGACAGCUUUCAUACUUCGUUUACCCUGUGUUUCCAAGUUGUGCUAGCUAUUUGCAAACCUUGGAAUAUUACUUCAUCCAAAUCCCUUGCAGAGAAAAGAAAGAUAUGGCUUUGAUCGGAGAGGCCCUCAUCUCUGCUACCAUCCAGACGUUGUGUGACAAAAUUGCUUCGCCUGAGUUCACCGACUUAUUUCGGCAGAAAAAGCUCGAUGAACAACUCCUCAACAAGCUGAAGACGACGCUGUUGACCUUGUCCGUAGUGCUUAAUGAUGCAGAGGAGAAGCAAAUUGAGGAACCUUUAGUGAGAGACUGGCUUGACAAUCUCAGACAUAAUGUCUUGGCUGCGGAGGACUUACUGGAUGAAAUCGACACUGAAGCUUUGCGAUGCAAACUGGAAGAAGGUGAAGGUCAAACCCACAAUUUAACCAAGAAGGUACGUGAUUUUUAUCAACGCAUGAAUGUUGAGAUGAAAGAUUUAUUAGAAAGAUUAGAACAAUUUGUACAAGAGAAAAGUGCUCUUGGUUUGAGAGAAGGUGCUGGGAGGAAGGUUUCACGAAGAACAACAACUUCCUUGGUUCAUGAACCUUGUGUCUAUGGUAGAGAUGAAGUCAAAGAAAAUCUGUUGCCAAUUUUGUUAUCUGAUGAUGCAAGUAAGGAUGAUGUGUCUGUCCUCACCAUUGUUGGAAUGGGUGGGAUUGGCAAGACAACCCUUGCCCGACUGCUUU